RNAcentral lists this transfer RNA (73 nucleotides) under Streptomyces phage Sycamore. RNAcentral's name for it is "tRNA-Gln". It matches the Rfam family "tRNA". From Rfam's summary of the family: Transfer RNA (tRNA) molecules are approximately 80 nucleotides in length. Their secondary structure includes four short double-helical elements and three loops (D, anti-codon, and T loops). The record is from RNAcentral. Lineage: Duplodnaviria; Heunggongvirae; Uroviricota; Caudoviricetes; Colingsworthviridae.
UCCGCGCUAGUUCAACUGGCAGAACGCAUGGCCCUGGACCAUGAGACCGGGGUUCGAAUCCUUGGCGCGGAGC